Molecule: ribosomal RNA, 505 nt
Filed under: uncultured bacterium
Lineage: Bacteria
Description: bacterial SSU rRNA
Rfam family: Bacterial small subunit ribosomal RNA
Source: RNAcentral
AUGGCUCAGGAUGAACGCUAGCGGCAGGCUUAACACAUGCAAGUCGAGGGGCAUCGGGAGUAGCAAUACUGCCGGCGACCGGCGCAAGGGUGCGUAACGCGUGAGCAACAUGCCCGUAUCAGGGGGAUAAUCCAUGGAAACGUGGUCUAAUACCCCAUAGUAAUUAUGUAAGGCAUCUUAUAUAAUUUAAAGCUUUGGUGGAUACGGAUUGGCUCGCGUGACAUUAGCUGGAUGGUAAGGUAACGGCUUACCAUGGCUACGAUGUCUAGGGGUUCUGAGAGGAAGGUCCCCCCACACUGGAACUGAGACACGGUCCAGACUCCUACGGGAGGCAGCAGUGAGGAAUAUUGGACAAUGGAUGGAAAUCUGAUCCAGCCAUGCCGCGUGCAAGGAAGACGGCCCUAUGGGUUGUAAACUGCUUUUGUAUGGGAGCAAUAAGGGCUACGUGUAGUCCGAUGAGAGUACCAUACGAAUAAGCACCGGCUAACUCCGUGCCAGCCGCUGC